GAUCCUGGCUCAGGAUGAACGCUAGCUACAGGCUUAACACAUGCAAGUCGAGGGGGCAGCAUUUCAGUUUGCUUGCAAACUGGAGAUGGCGACCGGCGCACGGGUGAGUAACACGUAUCCAACCUGCCGAUAACUCGGGGAUAGCCUUUCGAAAGAAAGAUUAAUACCCGAUGGUAUAAUUAGACCGCAUGGUCUUGUUAUUAAAGAAUUUCGGUUAUCGAUGGGGAUGCGUUCCAUUAGGCAGUUGG
RNAcentral lists this ribosomal RNA (248 nucleotides) under uncultured bacterium. Its description in RNAcentral is "partial 16S ribosomal RNA". It matches the Rfam family "Bacterial small subunit ribosomal RNA", at positions 15 to 252 of the family's 1533-position model. The record is from RNAcentral.